Long non-coding RNA from Carassius carassius (crucian carp), 1368 nucleotides. RefSeq lists it as uncharacterized. The record is from RefSeq and is a predicted model, not a curated record. The transcript has 5 exons. Lineage: Eukaryota; Metazoa; Chordata; Actinopteri; Cypriniformes; Cyprinidae.
AACUUGAAGUUGUCCAAAUCACACAGAACCACGCGAGACCUCAAAACGAUAAGUUGUUGACAAUAUGGCGGCACAGAGUGGAAUAUUGAUUAAGUUUUAAAGGAGGCAGGGGUUUUAGGCAGGAUUUGAUGCUGCUUACAUGAUGUGUGUGUAGAUAUUAAUGUUAGGGGACAAUGUGAGAGUGUACGUUUUAGUAGGAAAACUUAUUAUCUGAUCCACACUCCGGAACAGAAGAGGGCGGUAUUGCACCAAUAAGCUGGAUGCGAACCGCCGUUAAACUGGAAAGAAGACGAAUGUGACAGCUUGCUGUGAGAGACAACGGGACAGAUGAGACACAUGUGUGUUUAUCUGCUGCAGACACACUGAUGAAGGAAUGCUGCCAUCAAAGGAUUUGUAUAUUUUGUGGUGGAGCAGGACCUGCAAGGAAAGGUGAAAAAGAGGGAAAACCUGAAACAAAAGAAUAAUGUAGUCGUGCUCAUGGGGUGCAGGCACACGAAAGUUUGGAGCAGACACAGCAGUCAGAUUGUCCUGCACGUGUUCUUCUGCUCUCGUUUAAGGUUGUGUGGUUCAGAGAGCCAUCAUCAAGGUCUUUUUCAUCCUGUUGCUCAACAACAUCCCCGUUGAAAAGAGUGAGAUUGUGAAGUGCAGCAGCAGAACUGUAUCAGCUGUGUUCAGAUGGCAGGAGGAUGUUGGGUUCACCAUCUGUAAAUACGUGAUUGUUAGAACAAUAAGUUUGAAUGAAGCUUUGUAUCAUGUGUUGUUGACUUGUACAUUAUCAAAUCAACAGUCUUCUCCAAAGGUGAGAUCUUCGAGCAGCUGAUCGAAGUACCCUUUGUGCAGAUAUUGCAGAGUCGCUGUGAGGAGUUAGUGCACCUGACCCUCUUUUUUAUUAUUAUUGCCAAAUUAUUUCAUAAAAGAUCAUGGUAAGAUGGUUGUAUCUAACAAUAAACAAUCAUAAUGCCAUAAAACAGUAAAUAAAAAAUACAAUGUUUUCAUCAUAGUAUGAGAUGCUAUACAAGAAAAACAUUUUUCACGUAAAAUAAUUCAAAAAAUAUUCAAGAGAUAAUGAUUUUGGGUAUAAAAAAAUGCUUUAAGGAUAAUACUUGAUCACAUUAGUGGAGUUAAAAAUAUAAAAAAUUAAAAUCAACAGUAUUGGCUAUACUAGAAUCACAAAAUAAAAAGGCAGCCGUUUCUGCAACAUGUUCUUCAUUAUCAAGAUAAUUACAAAUACAUUAAUUAAACCUGUCACUUAUGUCUUUUACGUUUUUGUGCUUGUUUUAACUUUGUAGGUCACAUGAUCAACAUAGAGGAUGAUGAUAUACAAUUUGCAUCCAUACUUCAUACAUACGCAUUUAGGCUGUAGAGUAU